CCUGACGCCAACCAGACCCCGUUACUCUAUCCAGCCUCCCACCGGACAUGAGCCUAGCAAUACCACGACUUACCCUGCCCGGGUGCGGAGACGGGUUGCUUGCACCUGGGGACAAACUAACUGGGACUGGUCUCUCCCUCUCACAUUAGACCUGUGAACCGCAUAUGCAGCCACCGACAGCUCACAACUGGACGGAUAGGCCCUUACUUUGAUGCAUGGGAUCCGGG
This is a non-coding RNA of Pelobates cultripes (western spadefoot toad), 227 nucleotides long. NCBI's taxonomy places the organism in Eukaryota, Metazoa, Chordata, Amphibia, Anura, Pelobatidae. The record is from the annotation of a GenBank genome assembly.